Molecule: ribosomal RNA, 468 nt
Filed under: uncultured bacterium
Lineage: Bacteria
Description: partial 16S ribosomal RNA
Rfam family: Bacterial small subunit ribosomal RNA
Source: RNAcentral
GACGAACGCUGGCGGCGUGCUUAACACAUGCAAGUCGAACGGAAAGGCCCUGCUUUUGUGGGGUGCUCGAGUGGCGAACGGGUGAGUAACACGUGAGUAACCUGCCCUUGACUUUGGUAUAACUUCAGGAAACUGGGGUUAAUACCGGAUAGGAGCUCCUGCUCCAUGGUGGGGAUUGGAACGUUUCGGCUGUUGGGGAUGGACUCGCGGCUUAUCAGCUUGUUGGUGGGGUAGUGGCUUACCAAGGCUUUGACGGGUAGCCGGCCUGAGAGGGUGACCGGCCACAUUGGGACUGAGAUACGGCCCAGACUCCUACGGGAGGCAGCAGUGGGGAAUAUUGCACAAUGGGCGGAAGCCUGAUGCAGCAACGCCGCGUGCGGGAUGACGGCCUUCGGGUUGUAAACCGCUUUCGCCUGUGACGAAGCGUGAGUGACGGUAAUGAGUAAAGAAGCACCGGCUAACUACGUG